This 339-nucleotide long non-coding RNA is filed under the name Mytilus galloprovincialis (Mediterranean mussel). The record is from RNAcentral. Lineage: Eukaryota; Metazoa; Mollusca; Bivalvia; Mytilida; Mytilidae.
GGAAGUAUUAUAUUGACAGGAACUACAACGAUUUAUUAGCACUUAUUUAUAACCCGGGGAGCUCUGUAGAAAAGAUAUGGAAACUGACUAAUUAGUAUGUUAUCGUUAAUAGCCCUUUGUGACCAUGUGCGAUGCCGCCGUCCUAAACUGACCAGACAUACUUCUUAUCAUCACGUGGUUUUUAUUGCGAAAGGUUAUCUCUAAUACCUGUCGGAAAACCCCUUUGUUUAUUUCAAUCUCGUCUGUGGUCUUUCAGAAUUAUUCAAUUUUUCAAAACAAAUCGACUGAUGUACAAAACAAGAAAAUCGGACGAGAACUUUGAAUACUACAACGUUUUGA